GAUGAACGCUGGCGGCGUGCCUAAUACAUGCAAGUCGAGCGAACGGACGAGAAGCUUGCUUUUCUGAUGUUAGCGGCGGACGGGCGAGUAACACGUGGAUAACCUACCUAUAAGACUGGGAUAACUUCGGGAAACCGGAGCUAAUACCGGAUAAUAUUUUGAACCGCAUGGUUCAAAAGUGAAAGACGGUCUUGCUGUCACUUAUAGAUGGAUCCGCGCUGCAUUAGCUAGUUGGUAAGGUAACGGCUUACCAAGGCAACGAUGCAUAGCCGACCUGAGAGGGUGAUCGGCCACACUGGAACUGAGACACGGUCCAGACUCCUACGGGAGGCAGCAGUAGGGAAUCUUCCGCAAUGGGCGAAAGCCUGACGGAGCAACGCCGCGUGAGUGAUGAAGGUCUUCGGAUCGUAAAACUCUGUUAUUAGGGAAGAACAUAUGUGUAAGUAACUGUGCACAUCUUGACGGUACCUAAUCAGAAAGCCACGGCUAACUACGUGCCAGCAGCCGCGGUAAUACGUAGGUGGCAAGCGUUAUCCGGAAUUAUUGGGCGUAAAGCGCGCGUAGGCGGUUUUUUAAGUCUGAUGUGAAAGCCCACGGCUCAACCGUGGAGGGUCAUUGGAAACUGGAAAACUUGAGUGCAGAAGAGGAAAGUGGAAUUCCAUGUGUAGCGGUGAAAUGCGCAGAGAUGUGGAGGAACACCAGUGGCGAGGGCGACUUUCUGGUCUGUAACUGACGCUGAUGUGCGAAAGCGUGGGGAUCAAACAGGAUUAGAUACCCUGGUAGUCCACGCCGUAAACGAUGAGUGCUAGGUGUUAGGGGGUUUCCGCCCCUUAGUGCUGCAGCUAACGCAUUAAGCACUCCGCCUGGGGAGUACGACCGCAAGGUUGAAACUCAAAGGAAUUGACGGGGGCCCGCACAAGCGGUGGAGCAUGUGGUUUAAUUCGAAGCAACGCGAAGAACCUUACCAAAUCUUGACAUCCUUUGACAACUCUAGAGAUAGAGCCUUCCCCUUCGGGGGACAAAGUGACAGGUGGUGCAUGGUUGUCGUCAGCUCGUGUCGUGAGAUGUUGGGUUAAGUCCCGCAACGAGCGCAACCCUUAAGCUUAGUUGCCAUCAUUAAGUUGGGCACUCUAAGUUGACUGCCGGUGACAAACCGGAGGAAGGUGGGGAUGACGUCAAAUCAUCAUGCCCCUUAUGAUUUGGGCUACACACGUGCUACAAUGGACAAUACAAAGGGCAGCGAAACCGCGAGGUCAAGCAAAUCCCAUAAAGUUGUUCUCAGUUCGGAUUGUAGUCUGCAACUCGACUACAUGAAGCUGGAAUCGCUAGUAAUCGUAGAUCAGCAUGCUACGGUGAAUACGUUCCCGGGUCU
RNAcentral lists this ribosomal RNA (1372 nucleotides) under uncultured bacterium. RNAcentral describes it as "bacterial SSU rRNA". It matches the Rfam family "Bacterial small subunit ribosomal RNA", at positions 28 to 1381 of the family's 1533-position model. The record is from RNAcentral.